CAACGAACAGAGUGAGAUCAGGAGGGAGAAGAGAGUACAGAUAGAUACUGAGAGAAAAUGGCGGAACUGAGCACCGUUUCACAUGAAGAGGGAAAUUGCCGGCAGUUAGAAUUCUGGACCUGAAAAAGCUUCAGCAGCGAUAGCUAUUCUCCCGAGCUCCAAAUGAUCUAAAAAUUUAUGGAGAAUUAUUUUGGAAUUAAUAAAAAAUACCGGAAGAAGAAUCACCGGGAGGGGACCCACCAGGGGAUAAUAAGCUCAGGUGGCGCCCCCUAGGGUGCGCCGUGUGAGCUUGUGGGGCCACCAGUAGGCCUCUGUGGCCCUGCUUCUCCUAUAUGAUGCCCUUUGCACUACAAAAACAAUCAAGAGAAGACUUUCGGGACAAAGCGCCACCCUCUCGAGGCAGAACCUGGGCAGGAGCAUUUUUGCUCUCCGGCAGAGCGAUUCCACCAGGGAUACUUCCCUCUGGGAGGGGGAAAUUAAAGCCAUCAGCAUCACCAGCGAUUCUCUUGUAGUGGGAGGACCAAUUUUCAUCAACAUCUUCACGAGCACCAUCUCCUCUCAAACACUAGUUCAUCUCUUGUAUUCAAUAUUUGUCUCAAAACCUCAUAUUGGUACAUGUGGGUUGCUAGUAUUGUUGAUUACAUCUUGUAGUUGAGGCUAGUUGGUUUAUUUGGUGGAAUAUUAUAUGUUUAGAUCCUUAACCAUGUACAAUACCCCUCUGAUCUUGAACAUGAAUAUGAUUUGUGAGUA
This is a long non-coding RNA of Triticum aestivum (bread wheat), 750 nucleotides long. RefSeq lists it as uncharacterized. The transcript has 2 exons. The record is from RefSeq and is a predicted model, not a curated record. Lineage: Eukaryota; Viridiplantae; Streptophyta; Magnoliopsida; Poales; Poaceae.